This 387-nucleotide ribosomal RNA is filed under the name Vibrio vulnificus. Its description in RNAcentral is "bacterial SSU rRNA". It matches the Rfam family "Bacterial small subunit ribosomal RNA", at positions 128 to 510 of the family's 1533-position model. The record is from RNAcentral. Lineage: Bacteria; Pseudomonadati; Pseudomonadota; Gammaproteobacteria; Vibrionales; Vibrionaceae.
GCCCUGAUGUGGGGGAUAACCAUUGGAAACGAUGGCUAAUACCGCAUGAUAGCUUCGGCUCAAAGAGGGGGACCUUCGGGCCUCUCGCGUCAGGAUAUGCCCAGGUGGGAUUAGCUAGUUGGUGAGGUAAGGGCUCACCAAGGCGACGAUCCCUAGCUGGUCUGAGAGGAUGAUCAGCCACACUGGAACUGAGACACGGUCCAGACUCCUACGGGAGGCAGCAGUGGGGAAUAUUGCACAAUGGGCGCAAGCCUGAUGCAGCCAUGCCGCGUGUGUGAAGAAGGCCUUCGGGUUGUAAAGCACUUUCAGUCGUGAGGAAGGUGGUAGUGUUAAUAGCACUAUCAUUUGACGUUAGCGACAGAAGAAGCACCGGCUAACUCCGUGCCA